RNAcentral lists this ribosomal RNA (253 nucleotides) under uncultured bacterium. RNAcentral describes it as "partial 16S ribosomal RNA". It matches the Rfam family "Bacterial small subunit ribosomal RNA", at positions 524 to 776 of the family's 1533-position model. The record is from RNAcentral.
UACGAAGGGGGCUAGCGUUGCUCGGAAUCACUGGGCGUAAAGCGCACGUAGGCGGAUUGUUAAGUCAGGGGUGAAAUCCUGGAGCUCAACUCCAGAACUGCCUUUGAUACUGGCGAUCUCGAGUCCGGGAGAGGUGAGUGGAACUGCGAGUGUAGAGGUGAAAUUCGUAGAUAUUCGCAAGAACACCAGUGGCGAAGGCGGCUCACUGGUCCGGUUCUGACGCUGAGGUGCGAAAGCGUGGGGAGCAAACAGG